Taeniopygia guttata (zebra finch) is the source of this 1598-nucleotide non-coding RNA. The record is from RefSeq and is a predicted model, not a curated record. NCBI's taxonomy places the organism in Eukaryota, Metazoa, Chordata, Aves, Passeriformes, Estrildidae.
GCAGCCUGGCACACAAUGGGAGGUGUCCUUGCCAUGGCAGGGGUGGAUUGGGAUGGGUUUGAGCUCCUUCCAUCCCAACCCAGUCUGGGAUUCUGGAAUUCCUCUCCAGGCAAAGCUGUGGUGGGAGGAGGGGGCAUUUCCCUGUUCCGUCACUGCCACAGUUCCCGUGCCUGGCAGCUGAGGGUGCCCAGCCUGUGCCAAGCCAAUCUCUUCUACCAGGUUUUGAUUGUGUUGGGAUUAUUUUUUAGGAUUAUUUUCUCACUCUCCAGCUCCUGGUUUUUGACUGGAGCCUUUUCCAGCAGCUGGGAUCUCCGAGCAGCAUCUCCUGUUCCUGCCAGGGCAGCCCAGUGCUGUCCUCACGUUGUUUCCUGGUGUCUUCUGAUGCCAUUUUUCCUACUUUCAUCUCACAUUUUGACCUCUGGAAAAUAUCACCUAGCCAGGUGUUAACCUAAUCCCUCAGUUCCCAUGCAAGGCAGGAACUCCUGUAAAAUAAAAAAGGCUUUAUUUUAUUCCAAAUAAAACAAUAGCUGUGCUUACAAACCAUUCUGGACAGACUCUUUAGGUAGUGCUUUGCACUGGGUUCUUCCCUUCCUUCCCUCUGUUCAGUGCUCAACUCCUCAGCUCCUAUGAAAAUAUAAAACCACCUCCUUUUUUAAAAUUUUAUUUUAAUAGGCAACAUCUUUUUCCCAGAGUCCCUGGGUUGUGGUAGCACCAUAUUGUGCAGGGGUUUAUGUUACAUGAACAACCAUUUCACUUGGUCAUAGCCAAUUUGAGUUCCAGGCAGAUUUUACUGGCCUUUCACUUAAUAGCUAAAUCAUCUGGAAAACAGAUUGGGGUUUUUACGUGUUUGGGGCUUUUUUUCUGAGGUGAAACCAGUCUGAAAAUCACCUUUCAGUGCUCUUCAGUGUGCAGGGCUGGGAUGAUGUCCCACCUCAGCGUGGGAUACAUCAGGAACAGUUUGAUAGUUUUAUUUAAAAUUCAAUGGAAUCAGGGCAGUGCUUUGGGUUUGGCUUGCAAUAGCUGAUUAAAUGCCACAAAUGGGUAUUUUUUUUACCUUCACAGGAGAGCUUCCCUUUCCUUAAAACAGCAUUCCAGCCUGAAAUGGGAUGUUUUCAAAUCCCAUACAUCAAAUCCUCAAAAAUCCCUUUUAACCAUCAAGCAAUUCCUGAUAACUUCUGAACCAGGACGCCAGGAAAAACCUCAAAUGAGAUUGAAUAAACUCUAUUAUCCCAGUAUUUGUGCAUAAGAUGAAUGGAAUAAUGGGAAAAGCAGAGCUUUGUUCAGGGAUCCCAUUUCUUCCUAGGAAAUGAGUUGGGAGUGGGAUGGAGACAGUGCUUCCAGCAGGAGAAUUGAUGCUAAUUGACAGCUAAUGGAUCAGCAGUUCUCCAAACAAAACUGGGGAGCAGGCAGCCUCCCAUUCUGCUGGAAUUGGAUCAUUUGGAGUAGAAAAUCCAGGGAGAAACAAAGCACGAGCCCAUUCAAGUAUAGUAUUUAUGUAUUUAUAUAUAGUAUUUAGCACUGGAGUGCUAAAAAUUCAGGGGUUGUGUAGGAUUUGGUGAUUUGGCAGGUCCAUGUGGGAUGGUCAGAAAUGCUGCUGC